CCUAUCAGAGGGGGAUAACCCGGCGAAAGUCGGACUAAUACCGCAUGAAGCAGGGGCCCCGCAUGGGGAUAUUUGCUAAAGAUUCAUCGCUGAUAGAUAGGCAUGCGUUCCAUUAGGCAGUUGGCGGGGUAACGGCCCACCAAACCGACGAUGGAUAGGGGUUCUGAGAGGAAGGUCCCCCACAUUGGUACUGAGACACGGACCAAACUCCUACGGGAGGCAGCAGUGAGGAAUAUUGGUCAAUGGGCGCGAGCCUGAACCAGCCAAGUCGCGUGAGGGAUGAAGGUUCUAUGGAUCGUAAACCUCUUUUAUAAGGGAAUAAAGUGCGGGACGUGUCCCGUUUUGUAUGUACCUUAUGAAUAAGGAUCGGCUAACUCCGUGCCAGCAGCCGCGGUAAUACGGAGGAUCCGAGCGUUAUCCGGAUUUAUUGGGUUUAAAGGGUGCGUAGGCGGCCUUUUAAGUCAGCGGUGAAAGUCUGUGGCUCAACCAUAGAAUUGCCGUUGAAACUGGGGGGCUUGAGUAUGUUUGAGGCAGGCGGAAUGCGUGGUGUAGCGGUGAAAUGCAUAGAUAUCACGCAGAACCCCGAUUGCGAAGGCAGCCUGCCAAGCCAUUACUGACGCUGAUGCACGAAAGCGUGGGGAUCAAACAGGAUUAGAUACCCUGGUAGUCCACGCAGUAAACGAUGAUCACUAGCUGUUUGCGAUACACUGUAAGCGGCACAGCGAAAGCGUUAAGUGAUCCACCUGGGGAGUACGCCGGCAACGGUGAAACUCAAAGGAAUUGACGGGGGCCCGCACAAGCGGAGGAACAUGUGGUUUAAUUCGAUGAUACGCGAGGAACCUUACCCGGGUUUGAACGCAUUCGGACCGAGGUGGAAACACCUUUUCUAGCAAUAGCCGUUUGCGAGGUGCUGCAUGGUUGUCGUCAGCUCGUGCCGUGAGGUGUCGGCUUAAGUGCCAUAACGAGCGCAACCCUUGCCACUAGUUACUAACAGGUAAAGCUGAGGACUCUGGUGGGACUGCCAGCGUAAGCUGCGAGGAAGGCGGGGAUGACGUCAAAUCAGCACGGCCCUUACAUCCGGGGCGACACACGUGUUACAAUGGCGUGGACAAAGGGAGGCCACCUGGCGACAGGGAGCGAAUCCCCAAACCACGUCUCAGUUCGGAUCGGAGUCUGCAACCCGACUCCGUGAAGCUGGAUUCGCUAGUAAUCGCGCAUCAGCCAUGGCGCGGUGAAUACGUUCCCGGGCCUUGUACACACCGCCCGUCAAGCCAUGGGAGCCGGGGGUACCUGAAGUCCGUAACCG
Molecule: ribosomal RNA, 1306 nt
Filed under: gut metagenome
Description: bacterial SSU rRNA
Rfam family: Bacterial small subunit ribosomal RNA
Source: RNAcentral